RNAcentral lists this non-coding RNA (119 nucleotides) under Helianthus annuus (common sunflower). The record is from RNAcentral. Lineage: Eukaryota; Viridiplantae; Streptophyta; Magnoliopsida; Asterales; Asteraceae.
GAAAGCACAGUACGAUGAAAGUUGUAAGCUGUGUUCGGGGGGGGGGGGGGGUUAUUAUCUAUCGUUGGCUUCUAUGGUAGAAUAAGUCGGGGAACCUGAGAGGCGGUAGUUUACCCUAC